AUUGAACGCUGGCGGAAUGCUUUACACAUGCAAGUCGAACGGCAGCACGGACUUCGGUCUGGUGGCGAGUGGCGAACGGGUGAGUAAUGUAUCGGAACGUGCCCAGUCGUGGGGGAUAACGUAGUGAAAAUUACGCUAAUACCGCAUACGAUCUAUGGAUGAAAGCGGGGGAUCUCAAGACCUCGCGCGAUUGGAGCGGCCGAUAUCAGAUUAGGUAGUUGGUUGGGUAAAGGCCCACCAAGCCAACGAUCUGUAGCUGAUCUGAGAGGACGACCAGCCACACUGGAACUGAGACACGGUCCAGACUCCUACGGGAGGCAGCAGUGGGGAAUUUUGGACAAUGGGCGAAAGCCUGAUCCAGCCAUUCCGCGUGCAGGAUGAAGGCCCUCGGGUUGUAAACUGCUUUUGUACAGAACGAAAAGGUUUCUACUAAUACUAGGAGCUCAUGACGGUACUGUAAGAAUAAGCACCGGCUAACUACGUGCCAGCAGCCGCCGUAA
This 500-nucleotide ribosomal RNA is filed under the name uncultured bacterium. Its description in RNAcentral is "partial 16S ribosomal RNA". It matches the Rfam family "Bacterial small subunit ribosomal RNA", at positions 30 to 523 of the family's 1533-position model. The record is from RNAcentral.